AUUGAACGCUGGCGGCAUGCCUAAUACAUGCAAGACGAACGGUAAGUUGAGUAGCAAUACUUAGCCAAGAGUGUCGUACGGGUGCGUAACACGUAUGCAACCUACCCUAUACAGGAGGAUAGCCUAGGGAAACCUGGAUUAACCCUUCAUAGUAUUAUUGGAUGGCAUCAUUUGAUAAUUAAAACUGAGGUGGUAUAGGAUGGGCAUGCGUCUGAUUAGUUAGUUGGCGGGGUAAUGGCCCACCAAGACGAUGAUCAGUAGGGGUUCUGAGAGGAAGAUCCCCCACACUGGCACUGAGAUACGGGCCAGACUCCUACGGGAGGCAGCAGUAGGGAAUAUUGGUCAAUGGAUGCAAGUCUGAACCAGCCAUGCCGCGUGCAGGAAGAAGGCCUUCUGGGGUUGUAAACUGCUUUUGCCAGGGGAUAAAAUUUCCAUGCGUGGAAAACUGAAGGUACCUGGUGAAUAAGCCACGGCUAACUACGUGCCAGCAGCCG
Molecule: ribosomal RNA, 494 nt
Filed under: uncultured bacterium
Lineage: Bacteria
Description: bacterial SSU rRNA
Rfam family: Bacterial small subunit ribosomal RNA
Source: RNAcentral